CUGCGAGCAGCGCGAGAGUUCACCUGCGAGCACCUGCGAGCAGCGCGAGAGUUCACCUGCGAGCGUUCACCUGCGAGCAGCGCGAGCGUUCACCUGCGAGCGUUCACCUGCGAGCAGCGCGAGCGUUCACCUGCGAGCAGCGCGAGCGUUCACCUGCGAGCAGCGCGAGCGUUCACCUGCGAGCAGCGCGAGCGUUCACCUGCGAGCAGCGCGAUUUACAAAAUGGUGCCGGUAGUGCUUCUUGCUGAUUUCUGUUGAGACAUUUUUCUUCGGCGUGAAAGCAAACCUCGUCAUUAUUUCUCAACGCGCGGCAGAAAACCCUGCUCCAUAGGCCCUGAUGUAUAUUUCAGACCGGAUGUGACGCAUCGGGUCAGCGUCUCUCCAUCACGCCUCAUCAUUCCUCACUUCCACUGAACGAGGGCGCCUCUCUAGGGGACGUCUCUAGGGGAGGAAUAUUUGAACAGAUGAAUUGAGGACCGUCUCUCUUGGGAGUCCUGGAUUUUCUGAGCGAGCAAUAGAGAAAGAAGAGCAAAAAGGGAAUUGAAGAGGGAGGAAGUGAGAGAUAAAGAAUGGAGAGGGGUAAUGACUUCACAGAGACCCAUCAUCACCACCCCUUAUUCCCUCUGAGGCUGAAUAGUGAACGAGGGCAACUCUCCAGGGGACGAAAAUUCGAACAGAUGUGUCGAGGUCUUUCUGAAAAGAGAGGAACUCGAGUGAUUCUGUUUGUUCUGGGCCUCUAGCUGCAGGUCCUGUUUGCUCAGUUCCUGAUUGCUAAGUGGACCAUAAAGUCUGAUUCGGUUCAUCAUUGAUUCAAAUGUUUUUAACCCUAAACAAGCUGUUUAAAUUUUUUUUAAUGAUGUUGAAAUCUCAGUUCUCUCUCUCGCUCUCUCUCUCUCUCUUCAUUCUCUCGCUCUCUCUUCAUUCUCUCCCUGGUUUUGAUUGAUUUAUUUUGUGGGUUUUUUUUUUCUUCUUCCAUUUUUUAAUUAAAUAUCUUAUCAGCCUUAAAAUUGACUAUUAAUCCAUAAUUGAAGUAGUAAUAAUAAAAUAAUAAAAAAAA
This is a long non-coding RNA of Ictalurus punctatus (channel catfish), 1057 nucleotides long. The record is from Ensembl. NCBI's taxonomy places the organism in Eukaryota, Metazoa, Chordata, Actinopteri, Siluriformes, Ictaluridae.